Panonychus citri (citrus red mite) is the source of this 2466-nucleotide long non-coding RNA. RefSeq lists it as uncharacterized. The record is from RefSeq and is a predicted model, not a curated record. Lineage: Eukaryota; Metazoa; Arthropoda; Arachnida; Trombidiformes; Tetranychidae. The transcript has 5 exons.
UUUGUUUUCUUUCAUGUUUACAUUUGAUUAACUCACAAUUUGUUCACAAUUUAAUUACUCAUCGAUUUUAAUUUAUUAAUCAUCAAUUGGUAUUCCGUAGAUUGUUGAUUGGCAAGUUAAUUCUUCUCAAUUUCUGUCAUCUUAAUCAUCUCUCUUGUGUCUUAAUCAUCAUCACAAUUUCUGAGUGUUUUUCAUUUCUCUGGUUAAUUGGUUGUUGUAAUUUCUCAGUUGUCACAAUCAUUAUGAUGGAUCCAGAGAUAAUUCAAGGUUAACUAUUACAAUAAUUUAAUCCAAAUUAAGAAUUAAUCCUUUUGUUCAUCAUGGCAUCACAAUCAAUUCAAUCUCAAUGGUAAUUUACUUAUGGAUGGUAACUGAUGUUUCCACACAUGGACAAGUAUUCAAAACACCAUGAGGGACAUGAUUUAUAUCCCCUGAGAGAGUAAUGUUCAGAGGAACAAGGGGAAAAAGCUAUGAAACUGGUUGAUGACUUGGCAAAUAUUGAUGGAGAUCAAAUGAGUAAAUUACUAAUUAGUCAGAGAAAAGCGAUUGUGGUUAAUUUUGGUAAUUUUCUCAACGACGCCUGAAAAAAAAAGUUGCAACAUUUAAAAAGAGAUGAAACCAUCCGGAUAUCCGGUUGAUUCUCAGAGAUGAGGUGAUGUGUUAAUCAUUGAAGUUCAAAGGGAGAUAUUGAUUAUCAAGGAAGGAUUAUCAUUAAGGGUUUUACAUUCAUUGGAUUGUGUUUACUUAAUUGCUCAAGGAUUCUAAUGGUUUUACCAUAUGAAAGUUACAACAUGAUUAACUUAUCAUCAGUUACAUUGAAUAUGGUUCAUUCAAUUUAUGGAUUUCCUUUCCAUAUACAUUUGGGAUUAAUUCAAUGGCGAUAAAUAGUCAACACCAAUCAAGGUGUAUUUAUGGUGAAACAGAGACAUGGUUAACCAUAAUACGGAUGUUCAAUUACAAUAAUUAAUAUAAUUACUUGGGCGUAAAUGGUAACAUUGACCAGGGAAACAAGGAGAAAAUGUUAAAUUGUUGAUACAAUUACAGACAAUUUAUGGUUAAUGGUUGGACAAUUAAUAUAAUUGUCAACUGAUAUUUAGAUUAGAUUGGAUAUAUUAUUAACCUGAAUAAGUUAAUUGUUGUGGAAACCAAAUAGUUUUUAUUUUAUCACAGUUAAUGUAACAUCUUAACAUUUAAUUUACUUUACAAGAUUCAAUUAACAUUUGAUUGUUGAACAAUCAAUUUUACUAUUAUUAAAUUUAAUUGCUCUUCUUUAAAUAUAUUCAUAUUGAAGAUGAUUAAUUAAAUUAUAUUCACAAUGAUGAAAGGGGUGGGGUAGUAAUUAAGCUUUUCAAGUUAACAAUUAACUUUGGUUAAGGUUCAAGAAGAUUAUAAUUGAUGAUUGACAAUUUAAAUAAAUAUAAGUUUAAUUUAAAUUUACUGAUGAUUAGCAUUUGGGGAAAGUAAAGUAAUUAAAUCAUUUAAAGUGAAAUUUACUUUGAUUUAAUUUUAUUCUAACAGUUAUUGUCAUUAUUUUCACUAUAAUUGUAUAAGAAAACAAAAAAAAAUUUUGACAACAAUUAGAAAACCGUUAAUCAAGUAUUAGGACAAUUAACGUGAUUGUUAUAGUAAAUUAUUGACAAUCAUUUAUCAUGAUAGGUAAAAAUAUCGAUCGUGUUGAUUGAUAAAACUCACGAACUCGGUCAGAAUCGCGACAAUUAAUAUUGAUUCUGUUUGAUGAAUUUUAAAUCAACUUCUCUUAAUUGUGAUUAACACACUAAAUGAUCAACUUUUUUUCUUAACAAUCAUUUUCAUGGAUUAUUGAGAUUCAUUGAACCAUCUUAACAAUUGAUCACCAUUAUGUUGAUACGAGUGACAAUUUAAAUUGUUAGUGCAACGAAAACCAAAUAUUAAUAUAAUAGAUUUAAAAUUGUAAUCAAUACUUUAAAUUACAAUUAACAAAACAAUUAAUAUCAUAGGAAAAAGUAAAACAAAGUUAAUUGGUAACAAUUUAAGAUAAUUGAUAAACUAUUAAUAAAUUUCUAAUUGUUAUUUAGCAAAAGUAAGUAACCAAAAAAUUGAUUAGAGUAAUUAAAUGAUAUUUAAUUGAUUGUUUGCCUUUUUUUUGAUUGAUUAUGAUUGAUGAUGAAAAUACAAUUUAUCAUUGAUCACAAUUAACACAAUUGACACACAAAUUAUUUGAUGAUUAAUAUUUAAGUUAAAAAUAAUCAGCUGAUGUUUAACUAUUAAUAUAAAAAGGGUCAUUGUCAAUGAUUAACUGAAUGUCAAGUGUAAUAGGAAACAAUUAACUGGAUUAAUUGCAAUUAGAACGUGAUUGUUAAUGAUGAACCAGGAAUCUAAUUUGUUUUUGUCACAAGAACGUGAAUGAUUAAGGUUAUGAUUUAAAGAUGGAAACAAUUACCUUUAAACUAAGUGAUAGAUUAACUUGUAAGAUUAAUUGUCGACAGA